AGUGAACGCUGGCGGUAGGCCUAACACAUGCAAGUCGAACGGCAGCACAGUAAGAGCUUGCUCUUACGGGUGGCGAGUGGCGGACGGGUGAGGAAUACAUCGGAAUCUACUUUUUCGUGGGGGAUAACGUAGGGAAACUUACGCUAAUACCGCAUACGACCUACGGGUGAAAGCAGGGGAUCUUCGGACCUUGCGCGAUUGAAUGAGCCGAUGUCGGAUUAGCUAGUUGGCGGGGUAAAGGCCCACCAAGGCGACGAUCCGUAGCUGGUCUGAGAGGAUGAUCAGCCACACGGGAACUGAGGAACGGUACAGACUCCUACGGGAGGACGCAGUGGGGAAUAUUGGACAAGGGGCGCAAGCCUGAUCCAGCCAUACCGGGUGGGUGAAGAAGGACUUCGGGUUGUAAAGCCAUUUUGUUGGGAAAGAAAAGCAGCAGGUUAAUACCCCGCUGUUAUGACGGUACCCAAAGAAUAAGCACCGGCUAACUUCGUG
RNAcentral lists this ribosomal RNA (492 nucleotides) under uncultured bacterium. Its description in RNAcentral is "partial 16S ribosomal RNA". It matches the Rfam family "Bacterial small subunit ribosomal RNA", at positions 29 to 507 of the family's 1533-position model. The record is from RNAcentral.